ACUCCUACGGGAGGCAGCAGUGGGGAAUAUUGCACAAUGGGGGAAACCCUGAUGCAGCCAUGCCGCGUGUGUGAAGAAGGCCUUCGGGUUGUAAAGCACUUUCAGUAGGGAGGAAGGUAGUGUAGUUAACACCUGCAUUAUUUGUACGUUACCUACAGAAGAAGCACCGGCUAACUCCGUGCCAGCAGCCGCGGUAAGUACGGAGGGUGCGAGCGUUAAUCGGAAUUACUGGGCGUAAAGCGCAUGCAGGCGGCCUGUUAAGUCAGAUGUGAAAGCCCGGGGUCUUAACCGUCGGAAUUGCAUUUGAAACUGGCAGGCUAGAGUCUUGUAGAGGGGUUAGAAUUUCAGGUGUAGCGGUGAAAUGCGUAGAGAUCUGAAGGAAUACCAGUGGCGAA
This 395-nucleotide ribosomal RNA is filed under the name uncultured bacterium. RNAcentral describes it as "bacterial SSU rRNA". It matches the Rfam family "Bacterial small subunit ribosomal RNA", at positions 335 to 719 of the family's 1533-position model. The record is from RNAcentral.